Molecule: unclassified non-coding RNA, 345 nt
Filed under: soil metagenome
Description: partial contains 5.8S ribosomal RNA, internal transcribed spacer 2, and large subunit ribosomal RNA
Rfam family: 5.8S ribosomal RNA (bases 1-119)
Source: RNAcentral
GAUGAAGAACGCAGCGAAAUGCGAUACGUAAUGUGAAUUGCAAAUUCAGUGAAUCAUCGAGUCUUUGAACGCACAUUGCGCCCCCUGGUAUUCCGGGGGGCAUGCCUGUCCGAGCGUCAUUGCUGCCCUCAAGCACGGCUUGUGUGUUGGGCCCCGUCCUCCGAUCCCGGGGGACGGGCCCGAAAGGCAGCGGCGGCACCGCGUCCGGUCCUCGAGCGUAUGGGGCUUUGUCACCCGCUCUGUAGGCCCGGCCGGCGCUUGCCGAUCAACCCAAAUUUUUAUCCAGGUUGACCUCGGAUCAGGUAGGGAUACCCGCUGAACUUAAGCAUACCAAUAAGCGGAGGA